Molecule: ribosomal RNA, 183 nt
Filed under: uncultured bacterium
Lineage: Bacteria
Description: partial 16S ribosomal RNA
Rfam family: Bacterial small subunit ribosomal RNA
Source: RNAcentral
GCAUGAAGCUGGAAUCGCUAGUAAUCGCGGAUCAGAAUGCCGCGGUGAAUACGUUCCCGGGUCUUGUACACACCGCCCGUCACACCAUGGGAGCCGAUAAUACCCGAAGUCAGUAGUCUAACCGCAAGGAGGACGCUGCCGAAGGUAGGAUUGGCGACUGGGGUGAAGUCGUAACAAGGUAAC